AUGGCGACCGGCGCACGGGUGAGUAGCACGUAUCCAACCUGCCGAUAACUCGGGGAUAGCCUUUCGAAAGAAAGAUUAAUACCCGAUGGCAUAAUUAGACCGCAUGGUCUUAUUAUUAAAGAAUUUCGGUUAUCGAUGGGGAUGCGUUCCAUUAGGCAGUUGGUGAGGUAACGGCUCACCAAACCUUCGAUGGAUAGGGGUUCUGAGAGGAAGGUCCCCCACAUUGGAACUGAGACACGGUCCAA
RNAcentral lists this ribosomal RNA (245 nucleotides) under uncultured bacterium. RNAcentral's name for it is "partial 16S ribosomal RNA". It matches the Rfam family "Bacterial small subunit ribosomal RNA", at positions 88 to 334 of the family's 1533-position model. The record is from RNAcentral.